CUGCCCAUCAGAAGGGGAUAACACUUGGAAACAGGUGCUAAUACCGUAUAACACUAUUUUCCGCAUGGAAGAAAGUUGAAAGGCGCUUUUGCGUCACUGAUGGAUGGACCCGCGGUGCAUUAGCUAGUUGGUGAGGUAACGGCUCACCAAGGCCACGAUGCAUAGCCGACCUGAGAGGGUGAUCGGCCACACUGGGACUGAGACACGGCCCAGACUCCUACGGGAGGCAGCAGUAGGGAAUCUUCGGCAAUGGACGAAAGUCUGACCGAGCAACGCCGCGUGAGUGAAGAAGGUUUUCGGAUCGUAAAACUCUGUUGUUAGAGAAGAACAAGGAUGAGAGUAGAACGUUCAUCCCUUGACGGUAUCUAACCAGAAAGCCACGGCUAACUACGUGCCAGCAGCCGCGGUAAUACGUAGGUGGCAAGCGUUGUCCGGAUUUAUUGGGCGUAAAGCGAGCGCAGGCGGUUUCUUAAGUCUGAUGUGAAAGCCCCCGGCUCAACCGGGGAGGGUCAUUGGAAACUGGGAGACUUGAGUGCAGAAGAGGAGAGUGGAAUUCCAUGUGUAGCGGUGAAAUGCGUAGAUAUAUGGAGGAACACCAGUGGCGAAGGCGGCUCUCUGGUCUGUAACUGACGCUGAGGCUCGAAAGCGUGGGGAGCGAACAGGAUUAGAUACCCUGGUAGUCCACGCCGUAAAC
Molecule: ribosomal RNA, 694 nt
Filed under: uncultured bacterium
Lineage: Bacteria
Description: bacterial SSU rRNA
Rfam family: Bacterial small subunit ribosomal RNA
Source: RNAcentral